GAGUUGCGAACGGGUGAGUAACGCGUAGGUAACCUGCCUACUAGCGGGGGAUAACUAUUGGAAACGAUAGCUAAUACCGCAUAACAGCAUUUAACCCAUGUUAGAUGCUUGAAAGGAGCAAUUGCUUCACUAGUAGAUGGACCUGCGUUGUAUUAGCUAGUUGGUGAGGUAACGGCUCACCAAGGCGACGAUACAUAGCCGACCUGAGAGGGUGAUCGGCCACACUGGGACUGAGACACGGCCCAGACUCCUACGGGAGGCAGCAGUAGGGAAUCUUCGGCAAUGGGGGCAACCCUGACCGAGCAACGCCGCGUGAGUGAAGAAGGUUUUCGGAUCGUAAAGCUCUGUUGUAAGAGAAGAACGUGUGUGAGAGUGGAAAGUUCACACAGUGACGGUAACUUACCAGAAAGGGACGGCUAACUACGUGCCAGCAGCCGCGGUAAUACGUAGGUCCCGAGCGUUGUCCGGAUUUAUUGGGCGUAAAGCGAGCGCAGGCGGUUUAAUAAGUCUGAAGUUAAAGGCAGUGGCUUAACCAUUGUUCGCUUUGGAAACUGUUAGACUUGAGUGCAGAAGGGGAGGGUGGAAUUCCAUGUGUAGCGGUGAAAUGCGUAGAUAUAUGGAGGACCACCGGUGGCGAAAGCGACUUUUUGUUCUGUAACUGACGCGGAGGCUGGAAAGCGUGGGGAGCAACCAGGAUUAGAUACCCUGGUAGUCCACGCCGUAAACGAUGAGUGUUAGGUGUUAGGCCCUUUCCGGGGCUUAGUGCCGCAGCUAACGCAUUAAGCACUCCGCCUGGGGAGUACGACCGCAAGGUUGAAACUCAAAGGAAUUGACGGGGGCCCGCACAAGCGGUGGAGCAUGUGGUUUAAUUCGAAGCAACGUGAAGAACCUUACCAGGUCUUGACAUCCCGAUGCUAUUCCUAGAGAUAGGAAGUUUCUUCGGAACAUCGGUGACAGGUGGUGCAUGGUUGUCGUCAGCUCGUGUCGUGAGAUGUUGGGUUAAGUCCCGCAACGAGCGCAACCCCUAUUGUUAGUUGCCAUCAUUAAGUUGGGCACUCUAGCGAGACUGCCGGUAAUAAACCGGAGGAAGGUGGG
RNAcentral lists this ribosomal RNA (1095 nucleotides) under uncultured bacterium. RNAcentral describes it as "bacterial SSU rRNA". It matches the Rfam family "Bacterial small subunit ribosomal RNA", at positions 93 to 1177 of the family's 1533-position model. The record is from RNAcentral.